GAUGAACGCUAGCGAUAGGCUUAACACAUGCAAGUCGAGGGGCAGCACAAGGUGGCUUGCUAUCUGGGUGGCGACCGGCGCACGGGUGCGUAACGCGUAUGCAACUUGCCCUAUACAGGAGGAUAACCCGUCGAAAGACGGACUAAUACUGCGUAUGCUCACAACUUGGCAUCAAGUGGUGAGGAAAGAAAUUCGGUAUAGGAUAGGCAUGCGUCCCAUUAGCUUGUUGGUGAGGUAACGGCUCACCAAGGCAACGAUGGGUAGGGGAACUGAGAGGUUUAUCCCCCACACUGGUACUGAGACACGGACCAGACUCCUACGGGAGGCAGCAGUGAGGAAUAUUGGUCAAUGGGCGCGAGCCUGAACCAGCCAAGUCGCGUGAAGGAUGACUGUCUUAUGGAUUGUAAACUUCUUUUAUACGGGAAUAACAAGAGUCACGUGUGACUCCCUGCAUGUACCGUAUGAAUAAGCAUCGGCUAACUCCGUG
RNAcentral lists this ribosomal RNA (487 nucleotides) under uncultured bacterium. Its description in RNAcentral is "partial 16S ribosomal RNA". It matches the Rfam family "Bacterial small subunit ribosomal RNA", at positions 28 to 507 of the family's 1533-position model. The record is from RNAcentral.